Molecule: ribosomal RNA, 433 nt
Filed under: uncultured bacterium
Lineage: Bacteria
Description: partial 16S ribosomal RNA
Rfam family: Bacterial small subunit ribosomal RNA
Source: RNAcentral
AACGAACGCUGGCGGCAGGCCUAACACAUGCAAGUCGAGCGAGGACUUCGGUCCUAGCGGCGGACGGGUGAGUAACGCGUGGGAACGUGCCCUUUGCUUCGGAAUAGCCCUGGGAAACUGGGAGUAAUACCGGAUGAGCCCUUUGGGGGAAAGAUUUAUCGGCGAAGGAUCGGCCCGCGUUGGAUUAGGUAGUUGGUGGGGUAAUGGCCUACCAAGCCGACGAUCCAUAGCUGGUUUGAGAGGAUGAUCAGCCACACUGGGACUGAGACACGGCCCAGACUCCUACGGGAGGCAGCAGUGGGGAAUCUUAGACAAUGGGGGAAACCCUGAUCUAGCCAUGCCGCGUGAGCGAUGAAGGCCUUAGGGUUGUAAAGCUCUUUCGGCUGGGAAGAUAAUGACGGUACCAGCAGAAGAAGCCCCGGCUAACUCCGUG